CCGAGUUUGCAACUCCCAAACCCCUGUGAACAUACCAAUUGUUGCCUCGGCGGAUCAGCCCGCUCCCGGUAAAACGGGACGGUCCGCCAGAGGACCCCUAAACUCUGUUUCUAUAUGUAACUUCUGAGUAAAACCAUAAAUAAAUCA
Molecule: unclassified non-coding RNA, 147 nt
Filed under: soil metagenome
Description: partial internal transcribed spacer 1
Source: RNAcentral